This 331-nucleotide long non-coding RNA is filed under the name Ananas comosus (pineapple). RNAcentral describes it as "long non-coding RNA (ACOM_LNC042879)". Lineage: Eukaryota; Viridiplantae; Streptophyta; Magnoliopsida; Poales; Bromeliaceae. The record is from RNAcentral.
ACGGUUCAAUCUUAGCCGUUCAUUUUCUUUCUUACGGCCCGAUCUCCAUCCUCAUUUUGUCGUAUCUGCAGCAUUAACUAAGUCAUCUUAAUUACCACCGUCUAUUCAUCAUUAUAGCCGACCUUGGAACUCGCUUCGAUGCGACAGUUCGAUGCGACGGCCUUUUCUUCUUCCCCAAGCUUCUCAUUCUUAUUGUCUCUUCUAUCUCCUUCAUCUCUUUCAUCUCUUUUUGUUUUUCUCUGACAAAAUUUUCCUUCUCCUCUUUUGUCAUCUUCUUCAUCUUUCUUCGUUUCGAAGAAUGGCGCCUCUUCCGCCAUUGCCUACUCGUCCU